Molecule: long non-coding RNA, 652 nt
Organism: Triticum dicoccoides
Lineage: Eukaryota; Viridiplantae; Streptophyta; Magnoliopsida; Poales; Poaceae
Exons: 3
Source: RefSeq, a predicted model, not a curated record
UCGGUGUCAUUUUCUGAAUUUGGUAAGGUGUAUUCUUUUUCUUUGGCAAACAGAGAAGGCAGGAGGAGGAGGAAGCUGAGAGGGAGAGGGCGUGGAGAUCUCGGUCUGCACAUUGCGUCUCCCACAAGCUACUGCGGCGGGAGAAUCCUAUACCCAACAUCCUUCUCAAAGCCUGCAGCUACUGCCUCCCCAAGCAAUGCCAACCUGUAGCAACAAGGGUUCAGAUUUUAAGAUCUCCAGUGAGCUUCCAUAGGAUUGGCAGGAGAGGAGGAGCAGAGCUGACCAACUCUGCUCAAGAUCACCUUUCUACAACAAUGUAAGCAGCUUCCCUUACGAGGUGUACCACGAGAUCAUACUGUACACGAGUGCUUUGGAGAAAAAAUUCCAUCGUUGUGCUACUGAACCUUGAGGAGCGCCGGGGAGAGAACCCAUUGGAUGCAGAAGCGUGAAGGAGUCCAUACAGUGCAGGCUGGUCAACCGUGAGGUUAGUAGCAUGCAAACUACUGGCUAGCUCUUGUGAUAAGUGAUACGUUUCAGUUAACUCCUUGUUCAUGCAAGCUAAUCUAACGGAUUACUUGCUAGCUACAUAUAUAUGACUUGUGUACACAUAGUCUGGAUGUUAUGUAUGGGAAAAUGAAAUAAAACAAUAUAU